UACAGAGGGGGCAAGCGUUGUUCGGAAUUACUGGGCGUAAAGGGCGCGUAGGCGGCCUCUUAAGUCGAACGUGAAAUCCCCGGGCUCAACCCGGGAACUGCGUCCGAUACUGGGGGGCUUGAAUCCGGGAGAGGGAUGUGGAAUUCCAGGUGUAGCGGUGAAAUGCGUAGAUAUCCGGAGGAACACCGGUGGCGAAGGCGGCUUCCUGGACCGACACUGACGCUGAGGCGCGAAAGCCAGGGGAGCAAACGGG
RNAcentral lists this ribosomal RNA (253 nucleotides) under uncultured bacterium. RNAcentral describes it as "partial 16S ribosomal RNA". It matches the Rfam family "Bacterial small subunit ribosomal RNA", at positions 524 to 776 of the family's 1533-position model. The record is from RNAcentral.